GACAGAGGGUGCGAACGUUGUUCGGAAUUACUGGGCGUAAAGCGUGUGUAGGCGGCAAGGCAAGUCGGAUGUGAAAUCCCGUGGCUCAACCAUGGACGUGCACUCGAAACUGCCUAGCUAGAGUCUCGGAGAGGAAGGUGGAAUGCUUGGUGUAGAGGUGAAAUUCGUAGAUAUCAAGCAGAACACCUGUGGCGAAGGCGGCCUUCUGGACGAUGACUGACGCUGAGACACGAAAGCGUGGGGAGCAAACAGGAUUAGAUACCCUGGUAGUCCACGCCGUAAACGAUGAGUGCUAGGUAUCACAGGCUUUGACCCCUGUGGUGCCGAAGCUAACGCGAUAAGCACUCCGCCUGGGAAGUACGGCCGCAAGGCUAAA
This 376-nucleotide ribosomal RNA is filed under the name uncultured bacterium. RNAcentral's name for it is "bacterial SSU rRNA". It matches the Rfam family "Bacterial small subunit ribosomal RNA", at positions 524 to 898 of the family's 1533-position model. The record is from RNAcentral.